UACAGAGGGGGCUAGCGUUGUUCGGAAUUACUGGGCGUAAAGGGCGCGUAGGCGGCCCGCUAAGUCGAACGUGAAAUCCCCGGGCUCAACCCGGGAACUGCGUCCGAUACUGGCAGGCUUGAAUCCGGGAGAGGGAUGUGGAAUUCCAGGUGUAGCGGUGAAAUGCGUAGAUAUCUGGAGGAACACCGGUGGCGAAGGCGGCGUUCUGGACUGCUACUGACACUGAGGAACGAAAGCCAGGGGAGCAAACGGG
Molecule: ribosomal RNA, 253 nt
Filed under: uncultured bacterium
Lineage: Bacteria
Description: partial 16S ribosomal RNA
Rfam family: Bacterial small subunit ribosomal RNA
Source: RNAcentral